Molecule: long non-coding RNA, 753 nt
Organism: Chenopodium quinoa (quinoa)
Lineage: Eukaryota; Viridiplantae; Streptophyta; Magnoliopsida; Caryophyllales; Amaranthaceae
Exons: 3
Source: RefSeq, a predicted model, not a curated record
GUACAUACACAAUAAUAAUUUAUUCAUGUUUUCAAAAAAAAAAAAACCAAAUUUCCGUAAAAUUUUUUUUCCCAAAAUAUUAAAGGGAAAAUUGAAGCGAUUAUCACUUUCUCUUUCUCAUUCAUCUGUAAAAAAAAAGUGAAACCUUCAUUAAACCUUCAUCAAACCUCCAUAGCAAAUCUUUCAUCAGCCGCUUACUGCACCGGCGCUCCACCGCCGUUCCACGUCUGCAAUACCGCACAUGUCUGCUGAGCCACCAGUAAAUUGAGUAGACAAAUCUCAGACAGUUAAACAAAAGAACAAUAUAAAUGGCAGAAGGGGUGAUAGAAGAAGUUUUAAAAGUUCCACUUAAGGCAAAAUUUUAUCCAUGAAAGUUGGCUUGACAAACUUCAGUCCCACAAGUGGAGGAAGCAAUGUUUUUGUAUUUUAAGCAAGUUCCUCCUACAUAUUCUCAACAAAUGAGCAACGAGCUUAGGAAAAGGUGGAUUUCAUAUGUUACCGGAUACCAUCAACCAAAUGACGACAACGACAACGAUUUAUGUGAAUUGUAGAUCAAUAUGGUAUUGGUAUAUCUAAGCAUAAUUUUUUUUUUUUCAAUCAACAUUAACUAGAAAGGUGUUUUGAUAUUUAACUCACGUAUUUGUUUGUAUAGUACAAAUUUUGUAUGAUUGAUUCAAUUUAAUUGUGGUUCGAUGUUUUAAAUUAUAUAUAUGAAGUAUAUUCUGAUGGCUUUCGUCAUAUCUGGAAAUAUUU